CCCCGAUGGGAGGGGCAAAGGAGGUGGCGAUGGAGGGGGUGGUCCUGAUGGGAGGGGCAGAUGAGGUGGCGAUGGAGGAGGUGGCCCCGGAGGGCGAGAGGACGCCCAUCGUGAUUGAGGGUAAGAGACAUGCUGUUAAUGAGACGGAGCAGGUGGUCGGCAAGAGGUUGAGAGUGCCGUCACAGUAUGUUGUUUCCCCCUUCACGGCUGAGGCCAAGAGGAGGACGUUUAUCGAUGGGACGCACCCGAACUUAUUUAGAGAGGUGGAUAAUGCCAAGUAGAAAGCAUUCGAGACGGAGUGGAGGAGAAUUAUCCCCGGAUAAGUAUUUUAUGAUUUUAAUAAAGCACUGUACGCUAACUCGUCUAUGCUUAUUUUAACAUUUCCCUAUUUUUUUAGCGCUACCCGCACGAUAGGUAAUCGGACGGUCUCGGACGCUUACAAGUGGUUCCACGAUAUCACGACUUCGGGGGCUUAGCUUGCCGACGAUGUAAGUGAACUAUUCAUUUCGUGUUUUGUAUGUAUACGUCACUUUGUAUUUAUUAAAUGAAUAACUCAUAAUUUUUUGGUGUUUCUUGAUGCAGCACAUCAACCUGGCCAUGGACUUGCUGCGAGAUCGAGCUCAGAGACAUCCAAAAUCAUUUGACGUCCAUGGUCAAGUCAUAUUAAAUACCGAGUUCCUGCGUACUGUUACCAUAGAGUAUCAGUCGCUCCAACUUAUGGGUAACGAGUACACGGUGCCAGAAUAUAUGCUCGAGUGGGUCAUAGGAUUGUUGCCGAGUGUCGAGGGAAAAUCAUGUGAGGGUUGUACACAUAUGUACAUUCCAGCAUACAUCAAUAAGCACUAUGUUACGCAGGAAAUCGUUUUUGCUGACACGACUAUAUAUGUGUACGACCCAAAUCAUUCAAGUUUGACGCAAGGUCAGCUGGAGCAAAACCUGGAGUCCGUAGCUGUAAUUGUUCCUAUGAUGGUCAGAUAAGUGGGGAUGACUGUACAGGAUAGAUUGCGGAUUGUUCAGAACACGACGACAUCGCAACAAUUCGUAAGGUAAAUGUUUGAACUUUGUUAUUUUCAUUUUUUAGAUUUAGUUUUUUAGCUACACAGUACUGAACUGAUCAAUUUUUGUUCAAUUGUAGCGGCGACUGCGGCAUAUUUGUCAUUAAGUACGUUAAAUUUUUAAGUAUAGGACAUAUGGUUGAUGGAAUCAACCAAUCGUGGAUACAGAACUGGAGAAAAAAGCUAGUAUGUGAUUUGUUCGAAUUUAAUGGUGAUCCGUAAAUUUGUAUUAAAUAUAUGUAACAUUCGAAUUAUAAAUUUAAUUAUUUUUUGUGAUUAUGAAAUAAUUAUAAAUUUGUGUUCGAUGUAUAUAACAUUCACA
Molecule: long non-coding RNA, 1377 nt
Filed under: Olea europaea subsp. europaea
Lineage: Eukaryota; Viridiplantae; Streptophyta; Magnoliopsida; Lamiales; Oleaceae
Source: RNAcentral